RNAcentral lists this ribosomal RNA (596 nucleotides) under Naganishia sp. 'saitoi/friedmannii'. RNAcentral describes it as "eukaryotic LSU rRNA". It matches the Rfam family "Eukaryotic large subunit ribosomal RNA", at positions 62 to 648 of the family's 3401-position model. RNAcentral also lists the same sequence under 1 other name. Lineage: Eukaryota; Fungi; Basidiomycota; Tremellomycetes; Filobasidiales; Filobasidiaceae. The record is from RNAcentral.
AAACUAACAAGGAUUCCCCUAGUAACGGCGAGUGAAGCGGGAAGAGCUCAAAUUUGAAAUCUGGUAGCCUUCGGUUGCCCGAGUUGUAAUCUAGAGAAGUGUUUUCCGCGUUGGCCCAUGUACAAGUCCCUUGGAACAGGGCGUCAUAGAGGGUGAGAAUCCCGUCCUUGACAUGGACCCCCAAUGCUUUGUGAUACACUUUCAACGAGUCGAGUUGUUUGGGAAUGCAGCUCAAAAUGGGUGGUGAAUUCCAUCUAAAGCUAAAUAUUGGCGAGAGACCGAUAGCGAACAAGUACCGUGAGGGAAAGAUGAAAAGCACUUUGGAAAGAGAGUUAAACAGUACGUGAAAUUGUUGAAAGGGAAACGAUUGAAGUCAGUCAUGCUCUUUGGAUUAAGCCGUUCUGCGGUGUAUUUCAUUGAGCGGGGUCAACAUCAGUUUUGAUCGCUGGAAAAGGGCAGGAGGAAGGUAGCACUCUCGGGUGAACUUAUAGCCUCUUGUCGUAUACAGUGAUUGGGACUGAGGAACGCAGCAUGCCUUUUGGCCGGGAUUCGUCCACGUACAUGCUUAGGAUGUUGACAUAAUGGCUUUAAACGAC